UCCUACGGGAGGCAGCAGUGGGGAAUCUUGCACAAUGGAGGAAACUCUGAUGCAGCGAUGCCGCGUGAGUGAAGAAGGCCCUUGGGUUGUAAAGCUCUUUCGUCGGGGAAGAAAAUGACUGUACCCGAAUAAGAAGGUCCGGCUAACUUCGUGCCAGCAGCCGCGGUAAUACGAAGGGACCUAGCGUAGUUCGGAAUUACUGGGCUUAAAGAGUUCGUAGGUGGUUGAAAAAGUUAGUGGUGAAAUCCCAGAGCUUAACUCUGGAACUGCCAUUAAAACUUUUCAGCUAGAGUAUGAUAGAGGAAAGCAGAAUUUCUAGUGUAGAGGUGAAAUUCGUAGAUAUUAGAAAGAAUACCAAUUGCGAAGGCAGCUUUCUGGAUCAUUACUGACACUGAGGAACGAAAGCAUGGGUAGCGAAGAGGAUUAGAUACCCUCGUAGUCCAUGCCGUAAACGAUGUGUGUUAGACGUUGGAAAUUUAUUUUCAGUGUCGCAGCGAAAGCGAUAAACACACCGCCUGGGGAGUACGACCGCAAGGUUAAAACUCA
This 546-nucleotide ribosomal RNA is filed under the name uncultured bacterium. RNAcentral's name for it is "bacterial SSU rRNA". It matches the Rfam family "Bacterial small subunit ribosomal RNA", at positions 337 to 903 of the family's 1533-position model. The record is from RNAcentral.